RNAcentral lists this ribosomal RNA (1395 nucleotides) under uncultured bacterium. Its description in RNAcentral is "bacterial SSU rRNA". It matches the Rfam family "Bacterial small subunit ribosomal RNA". The record is from RNAcentral.
AGAGUUUGAUCCUGGCUCAGAUUGAACGCUGGCGGCAGGCCUAACACAUGCAAGUCGAGCGGUAGAGAGAAGCUUGCUUCUCUUGAGAGCGGCGGACGGGUGAGUAAUGCCUAGGAAUCUGCCUGGUAGUGGGGGAUAACGUUCGGAAACGGACGCUAAUACCGCAUACGUCCUACGGGAGAAAGCAGGGGACCUUCGGGCCUUGCGCUAUCAGAUGAGCCUAGGUCGGAUUAGCUAGUUGGUGAGGUAAUGGCUCACCAAGGCGACGAUCCGUAACUGGUCUGAGAGGAUGAUCAGUCACACUGGAACUGAGACACGGUCCAGACUCCUACGGGAGGCAGCAGUGGGGAAUAUUGGACAAUGGGCGAAAGCCUGAUCCAGCCAUGCCGCGUGUGUGAAGAAGGUCUUCGGAUUGUAAAGCACUUUAAGUUGGGAGGAAGGGCAGUAAAUUAAUACUUUGCUGUUUUGACGUUACCGACAGAAUAAGCACCGGCUAACUCUGUGCCAGCAGCCGCGGUAAUACAGAGGGUGCAAGCGUUAAUCGGAAUUACUGGGCGUAAAGCGCGCGUAGGUGGUUUGUUAAGUUGGAUGUGAAAUCCCCGGGCUCAACCUGGGAACUGCAUUCAAAACUGACUGACUAGAGUAUGGUAGAGGGUGGUGGAAUUUCCUGUGUAGCGGUGAAAUGCGUAGAUAUAGGAAGGAACACCAGUGGCGAAGGCGACCACCUGGACUAAUACUGACACUGAGGUGCGAAAGCGUGGGGAGCAAAUAGGAUUAGAUACCCUGGUAGUCCACGCCGUAAACGAUGUCAACUAGCCGUUGGAAGCCUUGAGCUUUUAGUGGCGCAGCUAACGCAUUAAGUUGACCGCCUGGGGAGUACGGCCGCAAGGUUAAAACUCAAAUGAAUUGACGGGGGCCCGCACAAGCGGUGGAGCAUGUGGUUUAAUUCGAAGCAACGCGAAGAACCUUACCAGGCCUUGACAUCCAAUGAACUUUCUAGAGAUAGAUUGGUGCCUUCGGGAACAUUGAGACAGGUGCUGCAUGGCUGUCGUCAGCUCGUGUCGUGAGAUGUUGGGUUAAGUCCCGUAACGAGCGCAACCCUUGUCCUUAGUUACCAGCACGUAAUGGUGGGCACUCUAAGGAGACUGCCGGUGACAAACCGGAGGAAGGUGGGGAUGACGUCAAGUCAUCAUGGCCCUUACGGCCUGGGCUACACACGUGCUACAAUGGUCGGUACAGAGGGUUGCCAAGCCGCGAGGUGGAGCUAAUCCCAUAAAACCGAUCGUAGUCCGGAUCGCAGUCUGCAACUCGACUGCGUGAAGUCGGAAUCGCUAGUAAUCGCGAAUCAGAAUGUCGCGGUGAAUACGUUCCCGGGCCUUGCACUCACCACCCGUC